AGACCGAUAGCGAACAAGUAGAGUGAUCGAAAGAUGAAAAGCACCUUGAAAAGAGGGUUAAAUAGUACGUGAAAUUGUUGAAAGGGAAGCGCUUGUGACCAGACUUGGGCGCGGCGGAUCAUCCGGGGUUCUCCCCGGUGCACUUCGCCGCGUCCAGGCCAGCAUCAGUUCGUCGCGGGGGAUAAAGGCUUCGGGAACGUGGCUCCUCCGGGAGUGUUAUAGCCCGUUGCGCAAUACCCUGCGGUGGACUGAGGACCGCGCAUCUGCAAGGAUGCUGGCGUAAUGGUCACCAGCGACCCGUCUUGAAACACGGACCAAG
RNAcentral lists this ribosomal RNA (319 nucleotides) under fungal sp. CL003. RNAcentral describes it as "LSU rRNA". It matches the Rfam family "Eukaryotic large subunit ribosomal RNA", at positions 331 to 670 of the family's 3401-position model. The record is from RNAcentral. Lineage: Eukaryota; Fungi.